AGAAGUCCGUACUGAUCAAAUAUGGAAGGCUUUAGGAGCCUGUCUCUGCUCUAAAGCAUUGACAAUAAGACUCUGACUGCAACAGAACAGGCCAAGCAACUGAUUUAUUAACUAAGGAGCAACCUAUAUUCUUACUACAGAGUGUGAAUUUGCAGAAACAAAUCCUUCCCAUCUCAAUAUUCAGAGUGCUUUAUUAGGAGAUCUAAUCUGCGCUACUUUCCAGAC
Molecule: non-coding RNA, 225 nt
Organism: Pogona vitticeps (central bearded dragon)
Lineage: Eukaryota; Metazoa; Chordata; Lepidosauria; Squamata; Agamidae
Source: RefSeq, a predicted model, not a curated record